GACGAACGCUGGCGGCGUGCCUAAUACAUGCAAGUCGAGCGAAGUUUUUCUGGUGCUUGCACUAGAAAAACUUAGCGGCGAACGGGUGAGUAACGCGUAAAGAACCUGCCUCAUAGACUGGGACAACUAUUGGAAACGAUAGCUAAUACCGGAUAACAGCAUUAACUGCAUGGUUGAUGUUUAAAAGUUGGUUUUGCUAACACUAUGAGAUGGCUUUGCGGUGCAUUAGCUAGUUGGUGGGGUAAAGGCCUACCAAGGCGACGAUGCAUAGCCGACCUGAGAGGGUGAUCGGCGACACUGGGACUGAGACACGGCCCAGACUCCUACGGGAGGCAGCAGUAGGGAAUCUUCCGCAAUGGGCGAAAGCCUGACGGAGCAGCGCCGCGUGAGUGAAGAAGGAUUUCGGUUCGUAAAGCUCUGUUGUUAGGGAAGAAUGAUUGUGUAGUAACUAUACACAGUAGAGACGGUACCUAACCAGAAAGCCACGGCUAACUACGUG
This 499-nucleotide ribosomal RNA is filed under the name uncultured bacterium. RNAcentral describes it as "partial 16S ribosomal RNA". It matches the Rfam family "Bacterial small subunit ribosomal RNA", at positions 28 to 507 of the family's 1533-position model. The record is from RNAcentral.